AGGAUAAACGCUGGCGGCGUGCCUAAUGCAUGCAAGUCGCACGGAGCAUCACUUCGGUGGUGUUGAGUGGCGAACGGGUGAGGAACGCGUGGACAACCUACCCCGGCGUGGGGGGAUACCCGCCAGAAAUGGCGGCUAAUACCGCGUACGGUCCUAUCGCGCAGGGCGGUGGGAAGAAAGCAGUGAUGCGCGCUGGGAGGGGUCUGCGGCCGAUUAGCUAGUUGGCGGGGUAGUGGCCCACCAAGGCGAUGAUCGGUAGCUGGUCUGAGAGGAUGAUCAGCCACACGGGGGACUGAGACACGGCCCCGACUCCUACGGGAGGCAGCAGCAAGGAAUUUUCCGCAAUGGGGGCAACCCUGACGGAGCAACGCCGCGUGACGGAUGACGCCUCUUGGGGUGUAAACGUCUUUUGCCGGGGUAAGAGAACGGACGGUACCCGGCGAAUCAGGACCGGCUAACUACGCGCCAGCAGCCGC
RNAcentral lists this ribosomal RNA (476 nucleotides) under uncultured bacterium. Its description in RNAcentral is "SSU rRNA". It matches the Rfam family "Bacterial small subunit ribosomal RNA", at positions 26 to 518 of the family's 1533-position model. The record is from RNAcentral.